AACAUCGCGCACCUGCGGGAACCUGCGGAGGGAUCAUCAUUGAAUAUUCUUUUUCAAGCCUUUGGGGGGAAUUUUUCUUCUGAGGCUUGCAAACAACUUUGAUACCCAAAAAGAGAUUUUUCUUUUGGUUUUUCAGCUUGAGCUCAUUUGUUUGGGUUUGGGUUGAUGGCUAAGAGGAGAAGGGGCGAAGAGAGGAGACUCUCUCCAGCUCUGUAAAUUAUAACAAGCGGUUGCCUGAUA
RNAcentral lists this unclassified non-coding RNA (240 nucleotides) under soil metagenome. RNAcentral's name for it is "partial contains 5.8S ribosomal RNA, internal transcribed spacer 2, and large subunit ribosomal RNA". The record is from RNAcentral.